Molecule: transfer RNA, 78 nt
Filed under: Osteolaemus tetraspis (dwarf crocodile)
Lineage: Eukaryota; Metazoa; Chordata; Crocodylia; Crocodylidae
Description: tRNA-Phe
Source: RNAcentral
GUAGCUUAAACCACUAAAGCAUAACACUGAAAAUGUUAAAAUGGACAACCAAGUCCCGAAUGACAACAAAUAUCUUUA